AGUGAACGCUGGCGGUAGGCCUAACACAUGCAAGUCGAACGGCAGCACAGUAAGAGCUUGCUCUUACGGGUGGCGAGUGGCGGACGGGUGAGGAAUACAUCGGAAUCUACUUUUUCGUGGGGGAUAACGUAGGGAAACUUACGCUAAUACCGCAUACGACCUACGGGUGAAAGCAGGGGAUCUUCGGACCUUGCGCGAUUGAAUGAGCCGAUGUCGGAUUAGCUAGUUGGCGGGGUAAAGGCCCACCAAGGCGACGAUCCGUAGCUGGUCUGAGAGGAUGAUCAGCCACACUGGAACUGAGACACGGCCCAGACUCCUACGGGAGGCAGCAGUGGGGAAUAUUGGACAAUGGGCGCAAGCCUGAUCCAGCCAUACCGCGUGGGUGAAGAAGGCCUUUGGGUUGUAAAGCCCUUUUGUUGGGAAAGAAAAGCAGCAGGUUAAUACCCCGCUGUUCUGACGGUACCCAAAGAAUAAGCACCGGCUAACUUCGUG
Molecule: ribosomal RNA, 492 nt
Filed under: uncultured bacterium
Lineage: Bacteria
Description: partial 16S ribosomal RNA
Rfam family: Bacterial small subunit ribosomal RNA
Source: RNAcentral